Molecule: non-coding RNA, 1068 nt
Organism: Pantherophis guttatus
Lineage: Eukaryota; Metazoa; Chordata; Lepidosauria; Squamata; Colubridae
Source: RefSeq, a predicted model, not a curated record
UAGGGUGACUCUUAAUUGAUCAUUUGAUGUAACUAUCACUAAGCAGCUCAGUUUCCCCCACUCACCUCUGUGUUGCUAUAGUUGCUGUUACUGUGUUGAGAGAUGGAUAAGUGGGCGACACAGAUAUGAAAGAGGUCUCUCAGGAUUCGUUACUACCUUUUCUGCAGUUUACAAAAGAGAGGAAAGUUGCUUUUCCAAAUAUCUGCUUGCCUGAUCAGUGUGCUAAUGCAUGAAUUUCUGAUAAGCAACGCCAAGCUCUUGUUCUCCCUUCUUAUGGUUCCUCAUUUUCAAAACAACUAGUAGUGGACUACUCUUCAUGUACGGAAUGCCUUCAGUUAAAGAUGGACAGCCCUUCGCUUCUUCCAGAAUCUUAAAAGAAUGAAUUCUCUCUGACUUGGCCCAGCAGAAUGAAAUGUGCUCCCAAAUGAUACAACCAUAGAUGUUGCCAGAUACGGGAUGAAGUCAGCCAGAGUGGAGAGGAAAAAAUAAGAGGAAGAAACCAUCCUACAGCAAGCACUGGGGAAGCUUCCAGGACCUCCGAAGACUGUUUCCAACACAAUGAUUGAGUUGGGAAUGGCAGCAGUAGUGUCAUAAAGUUACAGCUUCAGGCAAGAUGGAAUUUAUAAUUUCGUGGAAUCCCAUGGAGUAAUGACUUAAGAACAAUGAGGGAAAAUAAGAUUUCUUACUGAAGUUCCCUUGGAAACAUCAACAUAACAUACAGAUGAUGAAUGCGGCUAACAACUCUUGUGAUAAGCUUCCAGUCCUUUCCAUCACCCAAGGCUCAAACAUUAUAUUGUGGCUGCCUAAGUCAAACUAGCGCAAACAUCUCAUUUAACAUAGCAUUUUCAAAAACAUCAAAUGAUCAGGAAAGGCUCUGAUAACCAAGAACAUUGAAUUCCAUUCAAACAAAUAAUUGAGAUUUAUAAUCCCAGCCGUAAAGAAAAUGCAAGCAAACUAAAAUCAGCAUAGCAAAUGUCCUUUAAAGUUGAAAAGAACCUAUAAGAAGAGCAGCAGCAGUUAGCUUUGGCUAACAAAAAGAACUAAAAACUAACCUGAAUAUAUGCACCA